Molecule: non-coding RNA, 552 nt
Organism: Nomascus leucogenys (northern white-cheeked gibbon)
Lineage: Eukaryota; Metazoa; Chordata; Mammalia; Primates; Hylobatidae
Source: the annotation of a RefSeq genome assembly
GUUGUGAAAAUAACCUCUUUUUUCUAAUUGGUAGGACAGAUUUUUUUAUGAUUCCUAAAGUGGAAGAAAUAAAAUAUUUGUGCUAUGUUCAUUUUUUUUUGGAUUGACAGUUUUAAUCCUCAGUGAACCAGGGCAGAAAAGAAUGAUGAUAUCCUUGAGAAUUUUACUGGUGAUCCUGUGGCUUCAGUUAAGCUGGGUUUGGAGCCAACGGAAGGAGGUGGAGCAGGAUCCCGGACCCUUCAAUGUUCCAGAGGGAGCCACCGUCGCUUUCAACUGCACGUACAGCAACAGUGGUUCUCAGUCUUUCUUCUGGUACAGACAGGAUUGCAGGAAAGAACCUAAGUUGCUGAUGUCCGUCUACUCCAGCGGUAACGAAGAUGGAAGGUUUACAGCACAGCUCAAUAGAGCCAGCCAGUAUAUUUCCCUGCUCAUCAGAGACUCCCAGCUCAGUGAUUCAGCCACCUACCUCUGUGCGGUGAACACACAAGUGUGGCUCUAGCAACACAGGCAAACUAAUCUUUGGGCAAGGGACAACUUUACAAGUAAAACCAG